AGAAUAUAAGAACCCGUCUCUUAACUUUUAACUAAAAAAGUUAAGAACCGGCUCUUAAAACUCUUAUUUAAGAACCGGUUCUUAGCUUUUUUAGUUAAAAGUUAAGAGACGGGUUCUUAUAUUCC
This 125-nucleotide microRNA precursor is filed under the name Brassica carinata (Ethiopian mustard). RNAcentral describes it as "MIR9563 microRNA precursor family". It matches the Rfam family "MIR9563 microRNA precursor family". RNAcentral also lists the same sequence under 1 other name. Lineage: Eukaryota; Viridiplantae; Streptophyta; Magnoliopsida; Brassicales; Brassicaceae. The record is from Rfam by way of RNAcentral.